Molecule: long non-coding RNA, 479 nt
Organism: Hipposideros armiger (great roundleaf bat)
Lineage: Eukaryota; Metazoa; Chordata; Mammalia; Chiroptera; Hipposideridae
Exons: 3
Source: RefSeq, a predicted model, not a curated record
CCGAGGGACAUGGCGGUUCCGCGCGGCCGGGACCUGGACGGUGGCUCCGAGGGACCAGAAAACCUCGUCCCCACCCUCCACCCCGUUUCGCGCGCGUCCUCAAGUUCACGGGAGUACGCAAGAAAACGACAGAAGCAAGAAACCUCCCUCCCCUGACCGGUUUGCAAUACCCUCUUAGGAUUGUUCAGAAAUAUGGCGAAAGAUUUGGAGGCAACCACAGGAGUUGGAAGAACUGGGAGAUGGGGGCCCGAGCCAGGGGCUCUGAGAUUUUGUCGUGGCCAUUCCUCACCCCUCAAAAACCGCCGGGGGCGGGAAGAAUGGAGGCGGGAUGAAGACAAAUUAAGUUGAAGAACCCCGGGCUCUCGAGACUUGCCAGGUCACCCAUAGCUCCCUUGCACUCUGCUUCCUGGUAGGCUCAGCCAGUUGCAAGUACUGACAGGAGAUUGGAAGGUGGAGGAAAGGAGAAGCGAGGGCCUGUG